UAUAGCUCAGUGGCACAGCACCUGCCUGGCAGGCAUGAGGUCCUGAGUUUGAUUCCCAGUA
Molecule: transfer RNA, 61 nt
Filed under: Cavia porcellus (domestic guinea pig)
Lineage: Eukaryota; Metazoa; Chordata; Mammalia; Rodentia; Caviidae
Rfam family: tRNA
About the family: Transfer RNA (tRNA) molecules are approximately 80 nucleotides in length.
Source: Rfam by way of RNAcentral